Cinara cedri is the source of this 1035-nucleotide non-coding RNA. NCBI's taxonomy places the organism in Eukaryota, Metazoa, Arthropoda, Insecta, Hemiptera, Aphididae. The record is from the annotation of a GenBank genome assembly.
AUUUUGCUUUGGAAGUAUUAUACAUGUAUUAGUAUAUAUAUUUAUAUACUAAUAUAUAAUUUGACAUUGAUGAUUUUCAUUUGCUACUUGCGUAGACACCUAGUUUUCAUACAAAAUUAAGAGUAGUUAGAGUUGAUCAAGUCGUUUAAAAUCUUACUAAAGUAAAUUUCAUUAUUUUCAUUCAGAUUCCUAAAAAUAAUGAAUUAAUUUCUUUAUUUAUCCUUUAAAAAGGAAUCGUUCCUUAACAUUUGUAUUGAGUAUUAACAAAUACAUUUUUAAGCUCUAUGGUCCUAGAACUGACUUACUAGUAUAAUAUUACACAAAUGUACAAGUUGAAAAUUUAAUUCCAUAAUAUUACCUGACGAAUCAGCAGAAGUCAAUUACAGACAUUUUUGGAGUGUAAAUAAGAUAAAAUAUAAAGUUUUUAAUCUUUAUCAUAAUUACCUACAAUUAUAAUAAUAAAAUGUUGAUUAAUACUGUAAAUUAGGUUUAAUAAUAAUUGAUACAAUUUUUUAUUUAUUUUUUUAAAUAGCUAAAUAGGAUAAAUGUAUUUAAUAAAUAAUUGUACCUAUUUUAAAUAAAUGCUGAAUUUAGGUACAAUGUUAUUUUAUUUCAGGUUUACUUUAUUUUUAAGUAAUCUAUCAGCUGUAUUGUAUUAGAACUCAAAUUAUAGUCUCGUAAACUAAUUGAAGACUAUAUAAUAAAUUGUUUUUCUUUAUUCUGAAUCAAUAACUAGGUAUUAUACAAUUUAAUUUGAAAACCCCAUUGCAGUCAAUUUAAUUCAGUAAUUAGAACACAUUAAAAUGUCUUUCUUUUUUUAUAAUGUAACAUUGCUUAGCUAUAGCCAACAGGUAAUGAACAAUACUAUUUUUAUCAUAAAAAUUAAGAAAUAUUUGUUACAUUUACAGGUAUACAAUACAUUAUAUUAGUAGUAUAUUGUUUUUUUAUUUAGUUAUUAAUUUGAUUAAUUUAAGGCAUUAAAGCAAGCAAUAUACCUGUAUUGUAUUUUUUUUUUUUCUAUACCUUCUAUAGAUG